Molecule: ribosomal RNA, 478 nt
Filed under: uncultured bacterium
Lineage: Bacteria
Description: partial 16S ribosomal RNA
Rfam family: Bacterial small subunit ribosomal RNA
Source: RNAcentral
GAUGAACGCUGGCGGCGUGCUUAACACAUGCAAGUCGAACGGGAAUUACUUUAUUGAAACUUCGGUCGAUUUCAUUUAAUUCUAGUGGCGGACGGGUGAGUAACGCGUGGGUAACCUGCCUUAUACAGGGGGAUAACAGUCAGAAAUGGCUGCUAAUACCGCAUAAGCGCACAGAGCUGCAUGGCUCGGUGUGAAAAACUCCGGUGGUAUAAGAUGGACCCGCGUUGGAUUAGCUUGUUGGUGGGGUAACGGCCCACCAAGGCGACGAUCCAUAGCCGGCCUGAGAGGGUGAACGGCCACAUUGGGACUGAGACACGGCCCAGACUCCUACGGGAGGCAGCAGUGGGGAAUAUUGCACAAUGGGGGAAACCCUGAUGCAGCGACGCCGCGUGAAGGAAGAAGUAUCUCGGUAUGUAAACUUCUAUCAGCAGGGAAGAUAGUGACGGUACCUGACUAAGAAGCCCCGGCUAACUACGUG